GGGGAUUUAGCUCAGUGGCACAAGAGCCUGCCUGGCAAGCAUGAGGUUGUGAGUUCGAUUCCCACCCCCCA
Molecule: transfer RNA, 71 nt
Filed under: Cavia porcellus (domestic guinea pig)
Lineage: Eukaryota; Metazoa; Chordata; Mammalia; Rodentia; Caviidae
Rfam family: tRNA
About the family: Transfer RNA (tRNA) molecules are approximately 80 nucleotides in length.
Source: Rfam by way of RNAcentral